GCCAGGUGCAGUGGCGCAUGCCUGUAAUCCUAGCAGCUUGGGAGGCUGAGGCAGGAGGACCAUAAGUUCAAAGCCAGCCUCAGCAAUUUAGCGAGGCUCUAAGCAACUCAGUGAGACCCUGUUUCUA
This 127-nucleotide small RNA is filed under the name Marmota monax (woodchuck). The record is from RNAcentral. Lineage: Eukaryota; Metazoa; Chordata; Mammalia; Rodentia; Sciuridae.